AUCUUUUACGUCACUCAGAAAUACAAAAAUUAUCGACAUGGUGAUUGAAUUAACUUUUAAUGUCAUUACAGAAAACAUACAACAAAAUUACUGAGUUAGCACAUUAGAAACAGAGCCUGUCAUGAAACUUGCAAAUAAAGAUGAGAAUAGUUCAAAAUGAGAAGAUCAUGCCAUGGAAAAGACGACUGAGUGAACAUAAAGUGGAAAGGAGGAGAAAUAACUCACACCAUGCAGCAGGACACCUUCAGCUGUGGGGACUUGAUGGCCAAGGAAGUUGCACAGAACUUCCCCAACAUCCCCUCCAAAAUUGUUAAAGAACCUUAACAAUGAGCAACUGCGAAAAGAAAUGGCUGAGGAUAUACUAAAAAUGUCUGUGCUUAGAGCUUUGGGCCAAGUAACCGAAAGG
Molecule: long non-coding RNA, 406 nt
Filed under: Salmo salar (Atlantic salmon)
Lineage: Eukaryota; Metazoa; Chordata; Actinopteri; Salmoniformes; Salmonidae
Description: lncRNA (ENSSSAG00000087407.1, ENSSSAG00000114063.1)
Source: RNAcentral